GCCAAAGUGGUGGAAUUGGUAGACACGCUGGGUUUAGGUUCCAGUACUUACGGUGUAGGGGUUCAAGUCCCCUCUUUGGUA
Molecule: transfer RNA, 81 nt
Filed under: Aureococcus anophagefferens
Lineage: Eukaryota; Pelagophyceae; Pelagomonadales; Pelagomonadaceae
Also listed under: 1 other name
Description: tRNA-Leu
Rfam family: tRNA
About the family: Transfer RNA (tRNA) molecules are approximately 80 nucleotides in length. Their secondary structure includes four short double-helical elements and three loops (D, anti-codon, and T loops).
Source: RNAcentral